CAGCCACACUGGAACUGAGACACGGUCCAGACUCCUACGGGAGGCAGCAGUGGGGAAUAUUGCACAAUGGGCGCAAGCCUGAUGCAGCCAUGCCGCGUGUAUGAAGAAGGCCUUCGGGUUGUAAAGUACUUUCAGCGGGGAGGAAGGCGAUAAGGUUAAUAACCUUGUCGAUUGACGUUACCCGCAGAAGAAGCACCGGCUAACUCCGUGCCAGCAGCCGCGGUAAUACGGAGGGUGCAAGCGUUAAUCGGAAUUACUGGGCGUAAAGCGCACGCAGGCGGUCUGUCAAGUCGGAUGUGAAAUCCCCGGGCUCAACCU
Molecule: ribosomal RNA, 318 nt
Filed under: Klebsiella quasipneumoniae subsp. similipneumoniae
Lineage: Bacteria; Pseudomonadati; Pseudomonadota; Gammaproteobacteria; Enterobacterales; Enterobacteriaceae
Description: bacterial SSU rRNA
Rfam family: Bacterial small subunit ribosomal RNA
Source: RNAcentral